AAUUGCAACAUCGAGGUCGCAAACUUAUUCAUCGAUAUGAACUCUCCGAAAAAUUACGCUGUUAUCCCUAAGGUAAGUUAAUCUUAUAAUCAAAAAUUCUGGAUCAAAAAAACAUAAAUUAAUGAAUAAAAUAUUAAAAGUUAAAUAAAUUUUAAUGUCACCCCAACAAAACUUUAUAUUCUAAAAAAUUGUUUAAUCAACAAAAAAUAAUAAUUAAUAAAUAAAGUAAACUUCUAUAGGGUCUUCUCGUCCUAUAAAAAAAUUUUAGCUUUUUAACUAAAAAAUUAAAUUCAAAAUAAUUAAAAAAAGAAAGUUUAUUUUUCAUCAAACCAUUCAUGCUAGCCUUCAAUUAAAAGACAAAUGAUUAUGCUACCUUCGUACAGUU
This 385-nucleotide ribosomal RNA is filed under the name Gerris latiabdominis. Its description in RNAcentral is "partial 16S ribosomal RNA". Lineage: Eukaryota; Metazoa; Arthropoda; Insecta; Hemiptera; Gerridae. The record is from RNAcentral.